UUUAACAUGUGAUUGAAUUAGAUAAGGCUAUAAAUUCAUCCCAACAAGUGUAAUCAGAAAUUUAAAUUUCAAAUAUUUACAAAUUUUUAAAGAUUUAUCAAUAAUUCAAAAUGUCCUAAUUAAUAAGAAAAUAAUGCCACAUAAAAUAAAACAGAUAGAAUAUAUCAUAAUUUGCAAAAAUUAGUCUUUAGCACCUUGUAUAUGGUUUGGCGAGUCUUAUCCACAUUGGAAAAUUCAUGUAUUUCCCUGGUUAUUGUUGAAAUCCAACCUUCCUCUUCUCCCUCGUCUAUGGUUUCCAUGGCUUCUCACUUUCCCUCUUCGAAGUGUGAACGAA
This 334-nucleotide long non-coding RNA is filed under the name Capsicum annuum. Its description in RNAcentral is "long non-coding RNA (CANN_LNC017850)". The record is from RNAcentral. Lineage: Eukaryota; Viridiplantae; Streptophyta; Magnoliopsida; Solanales; Solanaceae.